UACGAGGGGGGCAAGCGUUGUUCGGAAUUAUCGGGCGUAAAGGGUGCGUAGGCGGUUUGGUAAGUCUUAUGUGAAAUCUACAGGCUCAACUUGUAGUCUGCAUGAGAAACUGCCGGGCUUGAGUAUGGGAGAGGUGAGUGGAAUUCCUGGUGUAGCGGUGAAAUGCGUAGAUAUCAGGAGGAACACCAGUGGCGAAGGCGAGUCUCUGGACAUUUCCUGACGCUGAGGCACGAAAGCCAGGGGAGCAAACGGG
RNAcentral lists this ribosomal RNA (253 nucleotides) under uncultured bacterium. Its description in RNAcentral is "partial 16S ribosomal RNA". It matches the Rfam family "Bacterial small subunit ribosomal RNA", at positions 524 to 776 of the family's 1533-position model. The record is from RNAcentral.